Molecule: ribosomal RNA, 484 nt
Filed under: uncultured bacterium
Lineage: Bacteria
Description: partial 16S ribosomal RNA
Rfam family: Bacterial small subunit ribosomal RNA
Source: RNAcentral
AUUGAACGCUGGCGGCAGGCCUAACACAUGCAAGUCGAGCGGAUGAAGGGAGCUUGCUCCUGGAUUCAGCGGCGGACGGGUGAGUAAUGCCUAGGAAUCUGCCUGGUAGUGGGGGAUAACGUCCGGAAACGGGCGCUAAUACCGCAUACGACCUGAGGGAGAAAGUGGGGGAUCUUCGGACCUCACGCUAUCAGAUGAGCCUAGGUCGGAUUAGCUAGUUGGUGGGGUAAAGGCCUACCAAGGCGACGAUCCGUAACUGGUCUGAGAGGAUGAUCAGUCACACUGGAACGGAGACACGGUCCAGACUCCUACGGGAGGCAGCAGUGGGGAAUAUUGGAGAAUGAGCGAAAGCCUGAUCCAGCCAUGCCGCGUGUGUGAAGAAGGUCUUCGGAUUGUAAAGCAUUUUAAGUUGGGAGGAAGGGCAGUAAGUUAAUACCUUGCUGUUUUGACGUUACCAACAGAAUAAGCACCGGCUAACUUCGUG